UUGAGAGGGUAAGGCUCCCAGUAGACGACUGGGUUGAUAGGCCGGAUGUGGAAGCCUGGUAACGGGUGAAGCUGACUGGUACUAAUAGGCCGAGGGCUUGUCCUCAGUUG
This 110-nucleotide ribosomal RNA is filed under the name Streptomyces sp. V2. RNAcentral describes it as "partial 23S ribosomal RNA". It matches the Rfam family "Bacterial large subunit ribosomal RNA", at positions 2820 to 2925 of the family's 2925-position model. Lineage: Bacteria; Bacillati; Actinomycetota; Actinomycetes; Kitasatosporales; Streptomycetaceae. The record is from RNAcentral.